Molecule: ribosomal RNA, 440 nt
Filed under: uncultured bacterium
Lineage: Bacteria
Description: partial 16S ribosomal RNA
Rfam family: Bacterial small subunit ribosomal RNA
Source: RNAcentral
CCUACGGGAGGCAGCAGUGGGGAAUAUUGCACAAUGGGGGAAACCCUGAUGCAGCGACGCCGCGUGAGUGAAGAAGUAAUUCGUUAUGUAACGCUCUAUCAGCAGGGAAGAAAAUGACGGUACCUGAGUAAGAAGCCCCGGCUAACUACGUGCCAGCAGCCGCGGUAAUACGUAGGGGGCAAGCGUUAUCCGGAUUUACUGGGUGGAAAGGGAGCGUAGACGGCAGGGCAAGUCUGGAGUGAAAGGCGGGGGCUCAACCCCCGGACUGCUCUGGAAACUGUACGGCUGGAGUGCAGGAGAGGUAAGUGGAAUUCCUAGUGUAGCGGGGAAAUGCGUAGAUAUUAGGAGGAACACCAGUGGCGAAGGCGGCUUACUGGACUGUAACUGACGUUGAGGCUCGAAAGCGUGGGGAGCAAACAGGAUUAGAUACCCGGGUAGUC